AGUAAAUUUUAUAAAAAAUUAAAAUUUAAUAACUUUUAUAAAAUAUUCGUAACUGCUUACGCAAACUUUCAUCCACUAAUACCACAAGAGCUUGAACAAAGAAUAUUACAAAAUCCCAUGUGCAUAAAUUACUCAUCUGAUAAACAUCACAGGACAAAAAUCAUAGGGGAAUAGGGGGAAAAAAGAAAGCAAAGCAUCUUCAAAGUACUGGAGAUUCAAAGAACACUCACAAGCAAAGAAAAUCAAAGAAAAAAACAAGCAAAUACCAAAUAUUCAAAGUAUCGCCGUCGUUGACUUAUCAUUUAGACUUUCAAGCCAAGACCGAUUUACCUUGCAAAGAAUAGUUGAACAAUGCAGGGAGUGGCUUUGAACGUUACGGCUGAAGAAAACAAGUUCGUGAUUAGUUAGGCAGGCAUUAGAGGAGGCAGAGUAAGAUCCAGGAAUUGAAAAGAGAAUCUGCCAAAGUUAGAGAGGAGAUGGAAAAAGAAAGAGAAAUGCUUCAGUUAAGAGAUCAGCUGAGUGAAGAACGUGUCUAGAUGAAGAUGAAGACAAGGGAGACAGAGGGAGAGGAAGACAGGUAGGGGAUAGAGAUGAAGAGAGAAAUGGAGGAAAAAUAUAACCGUUAUGAAAAAUAAAGAUAAAAAUAAAAGUUAAAAAGUUUUUUUAUGUAAUUGUCAAAAUACAGAACGAGUUGGGCAACUAACGACAAACCCUAAGGUAAUUCACCCAUAAAUAAAUAAAUGGAACCAUUGAUUCUUUAACCAAAGCAACAAAAAGGAGAUGGUACAAGUUAGACGCAGUAUCCUAAACAAGUUGUAUAUUGCAACUACUGAUACAAAAAUUCACAAAAGUGAAGGACAAGAAAGGGAUGAGCAAGGAGAAGAUUGAUCUAGACAGCCGCUGUUGAUCUUACACGAAGAUUCCCGCUAAGUAAAACCCUAAGGUAAUUCACCCAUAAAUAAAUAAAUGGAACCAUUGAUUCUUUAACCAAAGCAACAAAAAGGAGAUGGUACAAGUUAGACGCAGUAUCCUAAACAAGUUGUAUAUUGCAACUACUGAUACAAAAAUUCACAAAAGUGAAGGACAAGAAAGGGAUGAGCAAGGAGAAGAUUGAUCUAGA
RNAcentral lists this unclassified non-coding RNA (1120 nucleotides) under Hevea brasiliensis (rubber tree). Lineage: Eukaryota; Viridiplantae; Streptophyta; Magnoliopsida; Malpighiales; Euphorbiaceae. The record is from RNAcentral.